This 254-nucleotide ribosomal RNA is filed under the name uncultured bacterium. RNAcentral describes it as "partial 16S ribosomal RNA". It matches the Rfam family "Bacterial small subunit ribosomal RNA", at positions 524 to 776 of the family's 1533-position model. The record is from RNAcentral. RNAcentral also lists the same sequence under 1 other name.
GACGAACCGUGCGAACGUUAUUCGGAAUCACUGGGCUUAAAGCGCGUGUAGGCGGAAGGGCACGUCCGUUGCUGAAAUCCCCCGGCUCAACCGGGGAACGGGCGCGGAUACGACUCUUCUGGAGGGGCGUAGGGGGACCUGGAACUUCCGGUGGAGCGGUGAAAUGCGUUGAGAUCGGAAGGAACGCCCGUGGCGAAAGCGAGGUCCUGGACGCCUACUGACGCUGAGACGCGAAAGCCAGGGGAGCGAACGGG